RNAcentral lists this long non-coding RNA (522 nucleotides) under Monodelphis domestica (gray short-tailed opossum). RNAcentral describes it as "lncRNA (ENSMODG00000031193.2)". The record is from RNAcentral. Lineage: Eukaryota; Metazoa; Chordata; Mammalia; Didelphimorphia; Didelphidae.
GAGGAGGAUCUUGGGAUUUGACUGGUUUUAAUGGCCACACCUGAUUCUGGUUUUUCCACUGCAUCAGAAGGAAGAUCUUUGCUCUGGCAUUUCCCUGGAAAUCCUGGUCUUGUGGAAAGAUUUGGAUACUCAUGGGUGGGACAUCUGCCUUGAAGGAGACUACUUUUCCCUGGAGUGCUGAGAGUCAUCUGUCUGACAGCUACCAGUCAAAGACCACUUGGCUAAGCCUCAAACCUGAAGUAAUAGGACCUAAUGCAGACCAACUCCUAAAACCAAGAGGCAAAUUUUCAAGAGACAAUCCUAUCAUCUUCUGGUUUGAUGACAGCAUGCCAUCACCACCAUUUCAGAUAUGUACUGUUCUUUAUUACUUAUUCAUGCCCACGCCUAUGAUCAGAAGCUUUUGAUGGAAGUAGAAGGUUUUUUUCCCCCUUGAGGAAGUGAAUUUCUAAUGAGCAAAUUGAGGCCUUUUAUAGUGGAUAUAUGAAAAAUAAAUUUCCUAUUAAAAUUAAGAAAUGUAAUUAC